GCGCCGACGCUGUGCUGGUGCCAGGUUAUGACGUCACGUACGUCCUGGAAGACGACGACACGUCACCCCACUUCUGGGAAGUCGUCAAAAGGCACAAGGCGGACACCAUAAUACGGUUCUCCAAGUCAAAAGACCAGGACGCUGCCGGUGACCCUGGGGGCGACUGGCCCUCUCCCUCCGACGGCUGCGAAGUCCAGCGAACGCCGGACUCCGCGGACUCUGUGCUCCUGUUCCGUCCACCGCGCACGUCUUGGUUCUGGAUGCCGUGCUGCCGCCGCUGCGCCCGCG
Long non-coding RNA from Pollicipes pollicipes, 288 nucleotides. RefSeq lists it as uncharacterized. The record is from RefSeq and is a predicted model, not a curated record. The transcript has 3 exons. NCBI's taxonomy places the organism in Eukaryota, Metazoa, Arthropoda, Thecostraca, Pollicipedomorpha, Pollicipedidae.